This 224-nucleotide unclassified non-coding RNA is filed under the name Hevea brasiliensis (rubber tree). The record is from RNAcentral. Lineage: Eukaryota; Viridiplantae; Streptophyta; Magnoliopsida; Malpighiales; Euphorbiaceae.
AAGAAUCAUUUGGUGAUUCCUUAGAAAGCCAAACUAAAGAUAAUCAAGAGUUGCACUUUGUGAUUCCCGUUUUGAGUGUGAAUCAGUUUUUAGAAUCAGUACUUGAAACGACACAUCAAGUUGGAAGAAUUUCCAUCUCCACCACAGCUGAUGUGCCUUUCAAGGAAAUGGCCCAUCAUUGUGAGCUACUUCUGAUGGGAAAGCAGCAGAAGAUGUCAUCUUUG